Long non-coding RNA from Oncorhynchus masou masou (cherry salmon), 1893 nucleotides. RefSeq lists it as uncharacterized. The record is from RefSeq and is a predicted model, not a curated record. The transcript has 2 exons. Lineage: Eukaryota; Metazoa; Chordata; Actinopteri; Salmoniformes; Salmonidae.
UGUUGUUGUUGCUGGUUGUUGUUGUUGCUGGUUGUUGUUGUUGCUGUUGUGGUUGUUGUUGUUGUUGCUGUGGUUGUUGCUGUGGUUGUGGUUGUUGCAGUUGUUGUUGCUAUGGUUGUUGUUGCUGUUGCUGUUGCUGUGGUUGCUGUGGUUGGUUGUUGUUGCUGUUGUGGUUGUUGAUGUUGUUGUUGCUGUGGUUGUUGAUGUUGUUGUUGUUGCUGUGGUUGUUGUUGUUGCUGUGGUUGUUGCAGUUGUUGUUGUUGUUGUUGCAGUCGUUGUUGUUGCAGUUGUUGUGGUUGUUGCAGUCGUUGUUGUUGCUGUGGUUGUUGUUGUUGCUGUGGUUGUUGUUGUUGCUGUGGUUGUUGUUGUUGCUGUGGUUGUUGUUGUUGCUAUGGUUGUUGUUGUUGUUGUUGUUGCAGUCGUUGUUGUUGCUGUGGUUGUUGUUGCAGUCGUUGUUGUUGCUGUGGUUGUUGUUGUUUUGUUGUUGUUGCAGUCGUUGUUGUUGCUGUUGUUGUUGCUGUUGUUGUUGUUGCAGUCGUUGUUGUUGCUGUGGUUGUUGUUGUUGCAGUCGUUGUUGUUGCUGUGGUUGUUGUUGUUGUUGCAGUCGUUGUUGUUGCUGUGGUUGUUGUUGUUGCAGUCGUUGUUGUUGCUGUGGUUGUUGUUGUUGCAGUCGUUGUUGUUGCUGUGGUUGUUGCUGUGGUUGUUGUUGCUGUGGUUGUUGCUGUUGCUGUGGUUGUUGUUGUUGCAGUCGUGGUUGUUGCAGUCGUGGUUGUUGCAGUCGUGGUUGUUGCAGUUGUUGUUGUUGCUGUGGUUGUGGUUGUUGUUGUUGCUGUGGUUGUUGUUGUUGUUGUUGCAGUCGUUGUUGUUGUUGCGCAGAGCCAUGAUGAAUUUGACUUCUUUCAACAGUUCAUACUUUUUGACACCAACAUUGAUUUACAACACACAGUCCCAUAAUGCACCAUCCCUCCAACUCCACUCACAGACCAGAGAAUUCCCAUAAUGCCCAUCUUCUCUCUAGCUUCAGAAGACUCCAGAGAAACCUACAACCCAGUUAGGAGAAGCAGAUGAACAAUCCUUCUCUUCCAGAGAAUUCCCAUAAUGUCCACAAGUCUAACAAGUCUAUCUUCUUCUUCUUCUUCUCUCCAGCUUCAGAAGACUCCAGAGAAACCUAACCCGCCACAGAGCCAGACUAGACAGCGAUGGACAGAGGAAGAUAUCCAAUAAACUCAGCAUCAUCUUUUGGGGACCUUCGUGCUCUUCCAUGGACACGACUUGAUAUAACCGUUUUACACACACACACACACACACGUUAGCCUGUGUCAGUGGGGACCGGACCACCUUGGCUUGGAGAACUCUUUUGGCCUUCGAUGUUGUACUGUAAACGAAUGAUGUGUUUUGUCACUAAAAUGGUGACCAGAAAAUGUUGAUGUUACGUUAUGUUUCUUUCUUGUCUAGGGCUGCAAAAUUCUGGCAAAUUUCAAAAGUUUCCUAGAUUUUUCCAGAAAUCUCAUUUGGAAGAUUCCGGAGUUCAGCAAGAAAUCUGUAAUCCUAGAAACUAGGGUUUCUGGAAAAUACUUUGAAAUUUGAGCAAAAAUUUUUCAGCAUUUUGCAACACUAUUCUUGUCACACCAUGCUCAUCUGGAUUUGUAGUUUUCUUCUGGCUAUAUAUAAAAAAAAAAUCUGUGAUUCUGUUGUAAGAAACUACAGUGGACUUUAAAUGUAAAUCUAAAAAAAAGUACAGUUAUUUAUAGAUGAAAUUUAGCUUUUUGAAGAUGCUAUAUCUAUUUUAAUGUUUCAUUUUGUUUUUUCAUGCCUUUUUGUAUCGUGCAAUUCCAUGGGUACUGUGAUGUACAAGAUCCUAGUAUUGACAGUGAUAAAGAUGGCAUUUUGUAA